GAGGGUAUAGCUCAAGUGGUAGAGCCAAUGCUUAGCAUGCAUGAGGUUUUGGGUUCAAUCCCCAGUACCUCCU
Molecule: transfer RNA, 73 nt
Filed under: Camelus bactrianus (Bactrian camel)
Lineage: Eukaryota; Metazoa; Chordata; Mammalia; Artiodactyla; Camelidae
Also listed under: 1 other name
Rfam family: tRNA
About the family: Transfer RNA (tRNA) molecules are approximately 80 nucleotides in length. Their secondary structure includes four short double-helical elements and three loops (D, anti-codon, and T loops). Further hydrogen bonds mediate the characteristic L-shaped molecular structure. tRNAs have two regions of fundamental functional importance: the anti-codon, which is responsible for specific mRNA codon recognition, and the 3' end, to which the tRNAs corresponding amino acid is attached (by aminoacyl-tRNA synthetases). tRNAs cope with the degeneracy of the genetic code in two manners: having more than one tRNA (with a specific anti-codon) for a particular amino acid; and 'wobble' base-pairing, i.e. permitting non-standard base-pairing at the 3rd anti-codon position.
Source: Rfam by way of RNAcentral